AGCAGCCGCGGUAAUUCCAGCUCCAAUAGCGUAUAUUAAAGUUGUUGCAGUUAAAAAGCUCGUAGUUGAAUUUCGGGAUUAAUUUACUGGUCGUGCUAUCGUACGUACUGGUUUUAUUGAUUCCUCCCUUCUGACGAACUAUGAUGCCAUUAAUUUGGUGUCAUAGGAAAUCAGGACUGUUACUUUGAAAAAAUUAGAGUGUUUAAAGCAGGCUCACGCUUGAAUACAUUAGCAUGGAAUAACGGAAUAGGACGUUUGAUUCUAUUUUGUUGGUUUCUAGGAUCGACGUAAUGAUUAAUAGGGAUAGUUGGGGGCAUUAGUAUUCAAUUGUCAGAGGUGAAAUUCUUGGAUUUAUUGAAGACUAACUACUGCGAAAGCAUUUGCCAAGGAUGUUUUCAUUAAUCAAGAACGAAAGUUGGGGGCUCGAAGACGAUCAGAUACCGUCCUAGUCUCAACCAUAAACGAUGCCGACCAGGGAUCAGCGGAUGUUGCUUUUAGGACUCCGCUGGCACCUUAUGGG
This 520-nucleotide small RNA is filed under the name uncultured Glomus. Its description in RNAcentral is "bacterial SSU rRNA". It matches the Rfam family "Eukaryotic small subunit ribosomal RNA", at positions 569 to 1094 of the family's 1831-position model. The record is from RNAcentral. Lineage: Eukaryota; Fungi; Glomeromycota; Glomeromycetes; Glomerales; Glomeraceae.